Non-coding RNA from Pelobates cultripes (western spadefoot toad), 1474 nucleotides. NCBI's taxonomy places the organism in Eukaryota, Metazoa, Chordata, Amphibia, Anura, Pelobatidae. The record is from the annotation of a GenBank genome assembly.
CUGCUAUCUACAAAUCAACCAUUGUAUAGGAAAUAAAUGAUUUUGCCCCAUCAGUGUUAUCCAAAAAUAUGCUUUUUGUUUAUUCAAAGUACUAAAUAGUAAUUUGAUUAAACUAAAAUGAACUAAAGUUAAUAAUAAACAGCGAUAGAAUAAACUUAUCAGUGCCAAACACAGAUCAUAAAGAAAUCCGCUGGACAAGUCUUCUAUCUGGUUACUUUGCUGGCCUGCUGCAAUGUGUUCUCUACUAGGCAAGAAAAAAAAAAUGGUUCCACUCUCCAGCAUGUGGCUUCACCUAAUAAAAAGGACUGAGCAUGUGUGCCAUUUCACGGGGAGGAGUCAGGCAUCCAUCUUAGCUGCAUGGCACAAAGAAAGUCUCCAAAAAGGCGUUCACUCCCUCUAGUGGUAUAAUUCUAAAACGGCACUAAAUGACAAUAAACUGUAUUAAGCGAUAUCUAAUGAAUAAGACCAUAAACCCAUUUCCAACACACAUGAUUUCUAAUAGCUAUAUCCUCUAAGUUCCCCUCCAGCACCACCUCCACCAGAUACAUAACUCUUGGGAGUUGUAAAGGUUUUAGUGUUUUCUGUUGAAAAGAUUUGUAAUUAGGCCCAUCAAUAUUGACAGCACCAGGCUCAAGGGGUUUUUAAUCUGGCCCUGUGCAUGCAUCCAAGCAAUCAAACGCCAACACAACGUGCAAACACACUCCUGAAAGCGAACACAAAUAUUACAUGCAAACACACUAAUACAUUCAAACUACAAAAUUAUAUACAAAACACACUCCUUCACUCAAGCACCAAUACUACACACACAUGUACAUCCACAUUUAAAAGUCAAUAUUACAUACAAACACACCCCAUGCAAUCAAAUUCAAACAUACCCCUGUAUUAAAACACUGAAAUUACAUGUCCCUCCAUUUAAACACCAAUGCUAUACACAAAAGCACACUUUGCAGACACUACAUACAAACACACCCCUGCAUUCAAACGCAAGCACUAUACACAACUACAUUCCAAUGGCAACAGUACAUACAAAUACACACCUACAUGCACACAUUUUCUCUAUACAAAAGCAUGCUUACAUUCAAACGCACAAACACUGCUCACAAAUACUAUAAUGGAUGGGCAAAUGGUAGAUCCCCAGCUGGAAUAGCAUCAUUGAAGUGGCAUGACAGAUAGGAAUCAGCCUUUUGGCCACCACUCUUGCACUACACAGGGGCACAAAAAGUUUUUGCACUAGACCCCUCUCUACAUUAGUUCCACCAUUUUAGAACAGUUUAACUGAAGCUCACUGGCUGAGUGUUCAGGGGCUAAGAGGAAUCAACCCAAAGUAGUGGAUAGCACUAAAUGGGUUUCUUAAAAAGUGUAACACGUAUGAUAAAAGAGAUCUUAUAACUCAGCAGCAAUCACCAAAUAUGUGUAAAACAAUCCAAUAUCCAGAAAAAGAUGUUGCAUUAGAGUAUUACUAUGUGUAUCUAGU